GACGAACGCUAGCGGCGUGCUUAACACAUGCAAGUCGAACGGAAAGGCCCUGCUUUUGUGGGGUGCUCGAGUGGCGAACGGGUGAGUAACACGUGAGUAACCUGCCCUUGACUUUGGGAUAACUUCAGGAAACUGGGGCUAAUACCGGAUAGGAGCUCCUGCUGCAUGGUGGGGGUUGGAAAGUUUCGGCGGUUGGGGAUGGACUCGCGGCUUAUCAGCUUGUUGGUGGGGUAGUGGCUUACCAAGGCUUUGACGGGUAGCCGGCCUGAGAGGGUGACCGGACUGAGGGAUAGUGAGGUACGGCGCCGGAGCGUAGGGGAGGGCGCAGUGGGGACUAGUGAAGAUGGGGAGUAGGCUGGAGGAGCGAGCGCGGGGGGGGGGAUGGCGGUUUGAGAGUGGACAACGGCGUUCUCGAGUGAGGAGGAGAGGGCGACGGGAAGGGGUAACGAAGCACCGGCUAACUCCGUGCAAGCAGCCGCGGUAAUAGAGAGAAAGAGAACACGUCGAAA
RNAcentral lists this ribosomal RNA (509 nucleotides) under uncultured bacterium. RNAcentral describes it as "partial 16S ribosomal RNA". The stretch from base 20 to 332 matches the Rfam family "Bacterial small subunit ribosomal RNA", at positions 47 to 358 of the family's 1533-position model. The record is from RNAcentral.